GAUGAAGAACGUAGCAAAAUGCGAUAAGUAAUGUGAAUUGCAGAAUUCAGUGAAUCAUCGAAUCUUUGAACGCACAUUGCGCCCGCUGGUAUUCCGGCGGGCAUGCCUGUUCGAGCGUCAUUUCAACCCUCAAGCCCCCGGGUUUGGUGUUGGGGAUCGGCUCUGCCCUUCUGGGCGGUGCCGCCCCCGAAAUACAUUGGCGGUCUCGCUGCAGCCUCCAUUGCGUAGUAGCUAACACCUCGCAACUGGAACGCGGCGCGGCCAUGCCUUAAAACCCCAACUUCUGAAUGUUGACCUCGGAUCAGGUAGGAAUACCCGCUGAACUUAAGCAUAUCAAUAAGCGGAGGA
RNAcentral lists this unclassified non-coding RNA (348 nucleotides) under soil metagenome. RNAcentral's name for it is "partial contains 5.8S ribosomal RNA, internal transcribed spacer 2, and large subunit ribosomal RNA". The stretch from base 1 to 120 matches the Rfam family "5.8S ribosomal RNA", at positions 35 to 154 of the family's 154-position model. The record is from RNAcentral.